Molecule: non-coding RNA, 669 nt
Organism: Ictidomys tridecemlineatus (thirteen-lined ground squirrel)
Lineage: Eukaryota; Metazoa; Chordata; Mammalia; Rodentia; Sciuridae
Source: the annotation of a RefSeq genome assembly
AUGGCCCUAAAAUUAGCUGGUGUGCCCAUGAAUUCUGAAGAAACAGGAAGAAGUUAUGUGUUCCCAGUGGAUGCAGAUUUGUGGUCAGGGUCUAUGGUUGUAUCAAUGGAGGGCAAAGGAGAGAUUGGAGGAAACUCUCCUCAGCAUCAGGAACAGAAGGCAGAGCUCAGGAUAACCUUCACAAUGGCCUGGUCCUGUUUUCUCUUCACAUUUAUUGUUCAUUUCACAGGAUCCUGGGCCCAGUCUGUGCUGACACAGCAGCCCUCACUGUCUGGGACUCCAGGACAGACAAUCACCAUCUCCUGCACUGGAAGCAGCAACAAUAUUGGUGGCUAUUAUGUGCAGUGGUACCAAAAGAUCCCAGAAACAGCACCUAAGCUCAUCAUCUAUGAUUAUAGCAAACAAAAUUCAGGAGUCUCUGAUCGCUUCUCUGGCUCCAAUUCUGGAAACUCUGCUUCACUGACCAUCACUGGGCUCCAGCCUGAGGAUGAGGCUGACUAUUACUGUCAGGCUUAUGACAGUAGCCUUGAUGCUCGCACAGUGCUCCAGGCUCAUGGGGAAUUGACAUUCUCAGUGGUUAUAACCAAUGUCUGGCAAACAUCUCAUCUUGCAAGGAGUCAUGCCGUAACAUCAAGGAAUAAUGGCAAAGAUGACAAGACCUUGUCCUAA